RNAcentral lists this ribosomal RNA (361 nucleotides) under uncultured bacterium. Its description in RNAcentral is "bacterial SSU rRNA". It matches the Rfam family "Bacterial small subunit ribosomal RNA", at positions 30 to 396 of the family's 1533-position model. The record is from RNAcentral.
AUUGAACGCUGGCGGCAGGCCUAACACAUGCAAGUCGAGCGGUUGAGAGUAGCUUGCUACUUGAUGCAGCGGCGGACGGGUGAGUAAUGCAUGGGAAUCUGCCUGGUAGUGGGGGACAACGGUUCGAAAGGAACGCUAAUACCGCAUACGCCCUACGGGGGAAAGGGGGGAUCUUCGGACCUCUCGCUAUCAGAUGAGCCCAUGUCAGAUUAGCUAGUUGGGGGGUAAAGGCCCACCAAGGCGACGAUCUGUAACUGGUCUGAGAGGAUGAUCAGUCACACUGGAACUGAGACACGGUCCAGACUCCUACGGGAGCAGCAGUGGGAAUAUGGACAAUGGGCGAAAGCCUGAUCCAGCCAUG